RNAcentral lists this small RNA (2348 nucleotides) under Pongo abelii (Sumatran orangutan). RNAcentral describes it as "retained intron". Lineage: Eukaryota; Metazoa; Chordata; Mammalia; Primates; Hominidae. The record is from RNAcentral.
AUUUCUGCUCUCUGCGCUGAGCACAGCGGCACCAGGCUGAGCUAAGCAGGGCCGCCCUGGGCAGGCCUCCCUGGUGGUGCAGGUGAGACCCAGGCUGGGCAAGGCGCAGUUUCAGUUCUCAUUUCAGGUCUCUGAGCUGAGCACAGUGGCACCAGGCUGAGUUAAGUGGGACUGCCCUGGGCAGACCUACCUACUAGAGCAGAAUGGAGCUGCGGCCCUACCAGUGGGAGGUGAUCAUGCCUGCCCUGGAGGGCAAGAAUAUCAUCAUCUGGCUGCCCACGGGUGCCGGGAAGACCCGGGCGGCUGCUUAUGUGGCCAAGAGGCACCUAGAGACUGUGGAUGGAGGCAAGGUGCACCUGGUGACCCAGCAUGGUGAAGAGUUCAGGCGCAUGCUGGAUGGACGCUGGACCAUGACAACCCUGAGUGGGGACAUGGGACCACGUGCUGGCUUUGGCCACCUGGCCCGGUGCCAUGACCUGCUCAUCUGCACGGCAGAGCUUCUGCAGAUGGCACUGACCAGCCCCGAGGAGGAGGAGCACUUGGAGCUCACUGCCUUCUCCCUGAUCGUGGUGGAUGAGUGCCACCACACGCACAAGGACACCGUCUACAACGUCAUCAUGAGCCAGUACCUAGAACUUAAACUCCAGAGGGCACAGCCGCUACCCCAGGUGCUGGGUCUCACAGCCUCCCCAGGCACUGGCGGGGCCUCCAAGCUCAAUGGGGCCAUCAACCACGUCCUGCAGCUCUGUGCCAACUUGGACACGUGGUGCAUCAUGUCACCCCAGAACUACUGCCCCCAGCUGCAGGAGCACAGCCAACAGCCUUGCAAACAGUACAACCUCUGUCACAGGCGCAGCCAGGAUCCGUUUGGAGACUUGCUGAAGAAGCUCAUGGACCAAAUCCACGACCACCUGGAGAUGCCUGAGUUGAGCCGGAACUUUGGGACGCAGAUGUAUGAGCAGCAGGUGGUGAAGUUGAGUGAGGCUGCGGCUUUGGCCGGGCUCCAGGAGCAACGGGUGUAUGCGCUUCACCUGAGGCGCUACAAUGACGCGCUGCUCAUCCAUGACACCGUCCGCGCCGUGGAUGCCUUGGCUGCGCUGCAGGAUUUCUAUCACAGGGAGCACGUCACUAAAACCCAGAUCCUGUGUGCCGAGCGCCGGCUGCUGGCCCUGUUCGAUGACCACAAGAAUGUGCUGGCCCACUUGGCAACUCAUGGCCCAGAGAAUCCAAAACUGGAGAUGCUGGAAAAGAUCCUGCAAAGGCAGUUCAGGAGCUCUGACAGCCCUCGGGGUAUCAUCUUCACCCGCACCCGCCAGAGCGCACACUCCCUCCUGCUCUGGCUCCAGCAGCAGCCAGGCCUGCAGACCGUGGACAUUCGGGCCCAGCUACUGAUUGGGGCUGGGAACAGCAGCCAGAGCACCCACAUGACCCAGAGGGACCAGCAAGAAGUGAUCCGGAAGUUCCGAGAUGGAACCCUGAACCUUCUGGUGGCCACGAGUGUGGCGGAGGAGGGGCUGGACAUCCCACAUUGCAAUGUGGUGGUGCGUUAUGGGCUCCUGACCAAUGAAAUCUCCAUGGUCCAGGCCAGGGGCCGUGCCCGGGCCGAUCAGAGUGUUUACUCGUUUGUAGCAACUGAGGGUAGCCGGGAGCUGAAGCGGGAGCUGAUCAACGAGGCGCUGGAGACGCUGAUGGAGCAGGCAGUGGCUGCUGUGCAGAAAAUGGACCAGGCUGAGUACCAGGCCAAGAUCCGGGAUCUGCAGCAGGCAGCCCUGACCAAGCGGGCGGCCCAGGCAGCCCAGCGGGAGAACCAGCGGCGGCAGUUCCCAGUGGAGCACGUGCAGCUACUCUGCAUCAACUGCAUGGUGGCCGUGGGCCACGGCAGCGACCUGCGGAAGGUGGAGGGCACCCACCAUGUCAACGUGAACCCCAGCUUCUCGUGAGACCUGUGGAAGGGGCUAUCGGGAUGGGGGCGUGGGAUGGGGACCUGGGAAUCCUUCCUAUCCAGACAGUGCUUUGAAGCUUUGGGAAGCUAAAGAGCAUUGUAGCAAGUACUUACUCUGCAUUUUCACAAUAAUCUGGUUAGACAGGUUUUAUCCCUGUCUCCAUUUUACAGGCAAGGAAAUAGAGGCUCAGAGAGGCUACGUGACUUGCCCAAGUUCCCACAGCCACUAUCUGGUUGAGCAAGAACUGGAAUUCAGGAUACUAAGUGUCAAAAGACCACACAUUGACCCUCUGGUCCUACCUACUCCGAAGAUAUCAAGAGAGCUUGGCCAUCCCUGGGCCAUCCUCCAUCCGCUAUCUCCUAGAGAGUAACCUUCCCCCAUCCUCCAUCCAUUCAUCAUGUUACG